RNAcentral lists this long non-coding RNA (448 nucleotides) under Equus caballus (horse). Its description in RNAcentral is "lncRNA (ENSECAG00000027794.2)". The record is from RNAcentral. Lineage: Eukaryota; Metazoa; Chordata; Mammalia; Perissodactyla; Equidae.
CUGGAGGUCAGGAGAUGGGAAGGGAACCAAGGGCUCCUGAGACCUGAGGCUGUGCUGCCUGCACCUGUCCCGCCUCCUCACUUUGCACAAUGAGAUAGCUGACCUUUUCUAUUUCAUCUUGUUUUUUUUCCUGCACCCCACUUGGCUUGGCAACCAUAAAUCCACACCAUUUCCUCCUUGGCAUUUCUUGAAUGUAUCCCGCUCAAAUUAACAACUCAAAAGCAGGAGGCCCGGUAGACCUUGAAAUGUUCCGCUUGCCUUCUGGCCUUGGCAGCUGGCUUGACAGGUCCCACCGGCUCUCCUGGGAGAGUGGGCAGCUGACAAAUCCGGAGGCCCUGAAACCUUCCUUCCACAUUAUUCACAACAGCCAAGAUUUGGAAGCAACCCAAGUGCCCAUUGACUGAUGAAUGGAUAAAGAAGAUGUAGCAGGCCAGCCCAGUGGCACAGC